GGGCCUCUCUACAAAGAAUGUGCCAUGCCAUGGACAAAUGGCAUGGGCACACACAUAUGCAUGUGCAUGGGUUGAAGAGUGCAUUUAACUCCCUUUUUUCUUUCUUAUAAAAACAGAAUAAGAAAAUCUUUACUCUUUUCCCAUUAUCUCCUUUUUUUUAAAAAAAAAUAGAAGAGGAAAGUUGAUAACUUUCCUUCUUUUCCACAGUCCUUCUAUGGGAUCUCCCC
This 227-nucleotide long non-coding RNA is filed under the name Elaeis guineensis (African oil palm). RNAcentral describes it as "long non-coding RNA (EGUI_LNC047984)". Lineage: Eukaryota; Viridiplantae; Streptophyta; Magnoliopsida; Arecales; Arecaceae. The record is from RNAcentral.